Oncorhynchus gorbuscha (pink salmon) is the source of this 777-nucleotide long non-coding RNA. RefSeq lists it as uncharacterized. The transcript has 4 exons. The record is from RefSeq and is a predicted model, not a curated record. NCBI's taxonomy places the organism in Eukaryota, Metazoa, Chordata, Actinopteri, Salmoniformes, Salmonidae.
CCAGUUAUGUACAAGUGACAAGAUUAUCCUGGCUUUCGCUAGCUACUUUCUUUUACUGUUUUGUAGAAUCUAAAGUGGUAAAAUGUAAUGUGAACAAGUAUUAUUACUAAAAAGAAGCUUUCAUCUCACAACCGAAGUCCCGAGUCAUUACUUUGAAGAGAGAACUUGAGAUCCUGCCAUGGAAAAGAUGACGGACAUGACGUGGAAAGGAGGGGAAAUAACUCACACCAUGCAGCAGGACACCUUCAGCUGCGGGGUCUUUGUAAUGCAGAUGGCCAAGGAAGUUGCACAGAACUUCCCCAGCAUCCCAAAUUGAUAUGGAACCUUCAAAAACACAUGGAGCAAGUGCGAAAAGAAAUGGCUGAGGAUAUACUAAAGAUGUCUGAGUUCAACAAAGCCAACAACUGCUUCAUGUGUGCCACCGAUGAAGAACCUGGAUGUGGCCCAAAGACUGCCUGGGUUAGUAACAUGUUUAUCAUCUUUUGACAACAGUGACGGCAUGUAAGGCAAUUUAUGAUAUAACACAAUGGGUGGCUAAUUCGUCAUACUACAUUGAUAUUUGAUAUUAUUUAUAACGUGUUACAUUUUGUUUUAGAUUGAAUGUUUUGCAUGCCAAAGGUGGUUCCAUGUGCUGUAACUAGGAAUGAAGACAAAAUAAUUAAACAGAGCAAACAACACAAACUGGAAGUGCUGUCUUUGUUGUUGAAAAUGUAUGCUAUACCCCAUCCACACUGAAGAGGCUCUGACAUGUACAUCAACCAGGGAUAAAGAGAAAGU